RNAcentral lists this ribosomal RNA (447 nucleotides) under uncultured bacterium. RNAcentral describes it as "bacterial SSU rRNA". It matches the Rfam family "Bacterial small subunit ribosomal RNA", at positions 355 to 825 of the family's 1533-position model. The record is from RNAcentral.
UCGGGAAUUUUGGGCAAUGGGCGAAAGCCUGACCCAGCAACGCCGCGUGAAGGAUGAAGUAUUUCGGUAUGUAAACUUCGAAAGAAUAGGAAGAAUAAAUGACGGUACUAUUUAUAAGGUCCGGCUAACUACGUGCCAGCAGCCGCGGUAAUACGUAGGGACCAAGCGUUGUUCGGAUUUACUGGGCGUAAAGGGCGCGUAGGCGGCCCUCUAAGUCAGACGUGAAAUCCCCCGGCUUAACCUGGGAACUGCGUCUGAUACUGGAGGGCUUGAGUAUGGGAGAGGGAUGUAGAAUUCCAGGUGUAGCGGUGAAAUGCGUAGAUAUCUGGAGGAAUACCGGUGGCGAAGGCGGCAUCCUGGACCAUUACUGACGCUGAGGCGCGAAAGCUAGGGGAGCAAACGGGAUUAGAUACCCGAGUAGUCCCUGAGCGGGCUGGCAAGGCGCAU